AUCGUGGAUGCUCUUAGAUUUGCUGAGAUGGCUUUGUAUUGUUUCUCAAAAUCCUAAACCGGAGUCUCUUUCUUUACCUCUCUCUCUCGAACCCAUCGUCUCUUCAUCUCCAUCUCUCCUCCGUGGUGCUUGCCGGUCAGUUUCUCCGUGGCUUUCCGAGGAAGCAGAGCACGACAAAGUUUUGCGGCGAAGUUACCAAAGAGGAAUCUGCUGGCUAAUGUUCAAAAGGCCUCUACGGUGGCUUAGAAUGCUCAUCGAAGAGCUUCACUGGAGCUUCUUCUUCGGUGUAAUUGUCGUCUACGGCGUUAGCCAAGCUCUCAGUAAAGGUUUUGGUUACAGGAGACGACCCUAUUUCAUAUUCGCUGGGGAAUGAUUUUACUCCUUUUGAAGGUUAUUUGAUGGGAGAGUUGAGGAUGCACUUUUGAUGUCUCUCAUGAUGAAGUGCAGUAAGAAGAAAGAGAGGUUUGCUUUACAGGAUAAACCACAAGAACUACUUGAAAAACGGCCGUGUAGUUACAUCUCCGGCGGUCAACAACACGGAGACCGAUUGAAUAACUGCAGAUGAAGAUGUGAUUGGAUAUGAUUUUCUAGUGACAGCUACUGGUCACAACGACCUGUUCCCCAAAACCAGACAAGAAAAUCUCUCACAGUACCAAACAUAAUAUGAGAAGAUCAGAUCUUCUAAAUCAGUUCUGAUUGUCGGUGGAGGACCUUCUGGUGUGGAACUAGCUGCAGAAAUCGCUGUUCAGCUUCAGACGGAAACAAAACAUACCGGACUUCAGGAGGAGAGACUAUACACGCAGAUUGUCAUUUCCUCUGUGUUGGGAAAUCUCUGUCUUCUCAAUGGCUCAGUGGGGCUGUUUUGAAAGAUAGCUUGGGUCAGAGAUGGUCAUUGUUUCUUUAGGAAGAAAAGACUCGUUGGCUCUGUUUCCGUUUGCGACAGUCGUUGGUUGCCUCCCUGGUUUGAUCAAGUCGAAGGAUCUAUUUGUAAGGAAGACGAGGAAGACAGGCUCUGUUUCCGUUUGCGACAGUCGUUGGUUGCCUCCCUGGUUUGAUCAAGUCGAAGGAUCUAUUUGUAAGGAAGACGAGGAAGACAAGAGGGCUAAAUCCUAAACUUGUUCAAGAUUGAGUCAUUUAGUAUGUUUCAGAGGUUUCAUCUUGUGUGUGCUUUUUUUCUCUUUCGUGCGACCUCUUUGUUUCAUUGUGGAGUGAGUGUAGGUUUGCGUAUGUUAGUUUGUGUGUUGUAUCUUUGAUGUACUAUUGAUAUUAUUUGAAUCAAAUAAAAAACCGGAAGAAUAGUUAACCAAACGGAAA
Molecule: long non-coding RNA, 1314 nt
Organism: Brassica napus (rape)
Lineage: Eukaryota; Viridiplantae; Streptophyta; Magnoliopsida; Brassicales; Brassicaceae
Exons: 4
Source: RefSeq, a predicted model, not a curated record